Molecule: long non-coding RNA, 698 nt
Organism: Centrocercus urophasianus (Greater sage-grouse)
Lineage: Eukaryota; Metazoa; Chordata; Aves; Galliformes; Phasianidae
Exons: 3
Source: RefSeq, a predicted model, not a curated record
GGCCACCAUCUUGCGGGCGGGACAGCUACUGCGGUCUGGGCAAUGCCUCCCUUGCGAUGUACGGAGGCGGCGGGCUCGUUCCCUUUGUCCCUUCUUCUCUGGCGUGUGUUAGCGCACCGCCAGACGCUCGUCCCGGCAGCCCGGCCGCCUCCGGGCCCGGCAAAGCCACUGAGAGAGCGGCAAAAAGGAAAGCCGUCUCACGGUAUCUUUCUGGCGCGCACGGCAGCUUCACGCAUGCGGGGUGACUGCAGCACAUGAGGUGGCAGAAAGCAGGCUGCUCUGGGACAAUUUGCAGUCAGAAACCAUUGCAUUCCGGGAUUUUCUGACAGCUCCUGUUACUGUACGGCCCCGCGUGGGACAGAACAGUGUGGCAGGAACAAUGCCAGCUGUUAGAAACCAAGUACAAUCUGUGGGUCUGGCCUAGCCAUCUACGUUAACUUUGGAUCCAGUUUCUGAUCCGGCCACCCUGGAAGGACUUUGUUAUGGGGUAAGAGCAAAUUGCAAGCGGCAAUGUGGGAAUGUGCGCUGUGAAGGAAAGCAAUACACCCACAGAUUUACAAAGCUUAACAGACAAAUACUGUUAUAAAAAAGAUAACCUUUCUCAGAAAAAAAAAAUCCCCAACUAAAACCACAGUUUGUAUACGAGGCUGAUAAAUAUUCUGAAAUGUUACAAUAAAUAGCACACAGUUGUGAAAACA